Molecule: non-coding RNA, 86 nt
Organism: Triticum aestivum (bread wheat)
Lineage: Eukaryota; Viridiplantae; Streptophyta; Magnoliopsida; Poales; Poaceae
Source: Rfam
ACAUGAUAUGAUGCAUGAGAUUAAUUUCCCUAUUGGUUUGAUUAGCUGAUAUGGUGGCCUAAAAUAAUGACCGAGUCUGAUCAUCC